This 90-nucleotide transfer RNA is filed under the name Nitrospirae bacterium 13_1_40CM_2_62_10. Its description in RNAcentral is "tRNA-Ser". It matches the Rfam family "tRNA". From Rfam's summary of the family: Transfer RNA (tRNA) molecules are approximately 80 nucleotides in length. Their secondary structure includes four short double-helical elements and three loops (D, anti-codon, and T loops). The record is from RNAcentral. Lineage: Bacteria; Pseudomonadati; Nitrospirota. RNAcentral also lists the same sequence under 1 other name.
GGAGGGGUGGCUGAGUGGCCGAAAGCUCCGGUCUUGAAAACCGGUGUCCGGGCAACUGGACCGUGGGUUCAAAUCCCACCCCCUCCGCCA